RNAcentral lists this long non-coding RNA (1812 nucleotides) under Lathyrus oleraceus (garden pea). RNAcentral's name for it is "Pisum sativum (pea) long non-coding RNA (PSAT_LNC010091)". Lineage: Eukaryota; Viridiplantae; Streptophyta; Magnoliopsida; Fabales; Fabaceae. The record is from RNAcentral.
UUGAUAUAUAAAGAUUUGUUCAUAAUUUUUUGUAGAAACACGAUUGGGUUCAAUAAAAAAUAUUAGGUAGUCCCUCAAUUCUGUUAUGUCCCUAGCGUUUCCAUAACAAAAGUCCGUGUUGGUGAUACGCACCCAAUUUUCUAUAUUUAUAUCCCCCUUUUUAUAGCCACAAUAGUGAAUUUUUUUAGCUUUUUCAACUCAAGCAAGUAACCUUGUAUGUUAAAAUGCUGAAACAUAUCCUCUUUGAUGCCACGCCCACAGUCCCCAUAAUAACCCAAAUAUUUGGUUAUUAAAUAAUCACGUUCUUUAAAUAGAGUCGACCUUUCUGUAAUUAUCUUAGAACCACGACGGCGACGAUGGGAACGAGGGGGACGGAUCGUAUAAUACUUUGCGAGAUAUAAAUUUAGAUUUUCUAUAAUCUCGUAUUCUUUCUUUUCUAACUCUAACUGCGUUUUAUCAGUAAUGUUACUGUUUGUAUAAAACGGCAUAAAAAAGAAAUCUAGUGGUAAGAUCCAAGGAUUCUUCUUAUAUGCACUUACUUUUAAAAAAAAACCAAAUCUUGGGGUCAAUACUUUCUGAUUCGUUAUGGAAUUCUUUUUUCUUUUUCCCAUCCAAUGAAAAUACUUUCUAUCCAUAUUUUUUUCCAUAUCUAUACCAUCUUUUCCUAUAUNCGUUCUUUAAAUAGAGUCGACCUUUCUGUAAUUAUCUUAGAACCACGACGGCGACGAUGGGAACGAGGGGGACGGAUCGUAUAAUACUUUGCGAGAUAUAAAUUUAGAUUUUCUGUAAUCUCGUAUUCUUUCUUUCCUAACUCUAACUGCGUUUUAUCAGUAAUGUUACUGUUUGUAUAAAACGGCAUAAAAAAGAAAUCUAGUGGUAAGAUCCAAGGAUUCUUCUUAUAUGCACUUACUUUUGAAAAAAAACCAAAUCUUGGGGCCAAUACUUUCUGAUUCGUUAUGGAAUUCUUUUUUCUUUUUCCCAUCCAAUGAAAAUACUUUCUAUCCAUAUUUUUUUCCAUAUCUAUACCAUCUUUUCCUAUAUAAUUUUGGAUAAAGCUAUCUCCCAUUAUAUCAAAUAAUUCUUUGAUAUUUUUAGGUGUGUUAUAAGACUGUGAUUUAUAUCCAUAAAUAUAGGAUUUUUUCUUAUCCACAUAAUUUAUAUAUUGAUAGGAGAAAAGAUCAUAUCCAUAUUUUUUUUCAUUUUUACUAAGUCGACUUCUGCUCCGUUUUCUAAUUCUAUGAAGUCCACUUGUUCUUUUUUGGAAAAAAUUAAUAGGGUUUUUUGAGAUGAACCAUAUUCAUCUAAAUCCUUAUUUUAAGCCACCCGCUAUUCAUGGAUUCUAUUCCUCCACUUUUGUGGUACUAAUCUCGACCAUGCCCUCUGAGGUAAAGCAUAUUGAUAAUGAACCUUUAACCAAUUUGUCCAUUGAUUCAUUAUAGAAUCGUUUCUAUUCCUCCACUUUUGUGGUACUAAUCUCGACCAUGCCCUCUGAGGUAAAGCAUAUUGAUAAUGAACCUUUAACCAAUUUGUCCAUUGAUUCAUUAUAGAAUCGGGACGGUUCUUAUCUCUUAACUUUGAAUUUAAUCUUCCUCCUUGUAUUCUCAAUAAAUACUCCUUUAUUUCAUUGUUCAUAAAAAAAGAUCUUCCAUGAGAUUCAAAAAUAGAUCUUAACUUAUAUCCAUUAGUAACUUGGCUUUGAGAUAAUUUAAACAAUACAUAGGCUUGUGACAAAGAAGAUACAUCACAAGAAUUCUCUGAAUUCAUAUUCCAAGGUUUCUCUAUAGUCGACAUAAAGGGAAUUAUACUUUGAUU